CCUACGGGUGGCAGCAGUGGGGAAUAUUGCGCAAUGGGCGAAAGCCUGACGCAGCGACGCCGCGUGAGGGAUGAAGGUCUUCGGAUCGUAAACCUCUGUCAGCAGGGAAGAACGGUCACUGUGCUAAUCAGCAGUGAAUUGACGGGACCUGCAAAGGAAGCACCGGCUAACUCCGUGCCAGCGGCCGCGGUAAUACGGAGGGUGCGGCAGUUAAUCGUAAUUACUGGGGGUAAAGCGCUCGUAGACGGUAUGGCAGGUCAAGGGUGAAAUCCCCGCGCUCAACGUGGGAACUGCCUGUGAAACUGGCAAACUGGAGUGUGUGCGAGGAUAGUGGAAUUCCAGGUGUAGGAGUGAAAUCCGUAGAUAUCUGGAGGAACAUCAGUGGCGAAGGCGACUAUCUGGCACAUAACUGACGCUGAGGAGCGAAAGCGUGGGUAGCAAACAGGAUUAGAUACCCGUGUAGUC
RNAcentral lists this ribosomal RNA (465 nucleotides) under uncultured bacterium. RNAcentral's name for it is "partial 16S ribosomal RNA". It matches the Rfam family "Bacterial small subunit ribosomal RNA", at positions 338 to 795 of the family's 1533-position model. The record is from RNAcentral.